Molecule: ribosomal RNA, 441 nt
Filed under: uncultured bacterium
Lineage: Bacteria
Description: partial 16S ribosomal RNA
Rfam family: Bacterial small subunit ribosomal RNA
Source: RNAcentral
CCUACGGGUGGCAGCAGUCGGGAAUAUUGCGCAAUGGAGGAAACUCUGACGCAGUGACGCCGCGUGCAGGAAGAAGGUCUUCGGAUUGUAAACUGCUUUAGACAGGGAAGCAAAAAGACAGUACCUGUAGAAUAAGCUCCGUCUAACUACGUGCCAGCAGCCGCGGUAAUACGUAGGGAGCAAGCGUUAUCCGGAAUGAUUGGGUGUAAAGGGUGGGUAGACGGAGAAGCAAGUUAGUUGUGAAAACCCUCGGCUUAACUGAGGAACUGCAACUAAAACUAGUUCCCUUGAGUACUGGAGAGGAAAGUGGAAUGCCUGGUGUAGCGGUGAAAUGCGUAGAUAUUAGGCGGAACACCAGUGGCGAAGGCGACUUUCUGGACAGUAACUGACGUUGAGGCACGAAAGUGUGGGGAGCGAACAGGAUUAGAUACCCGUGUAGUC